Long non-coding RNA from Orcinus orca (killer whale), 2813 nucleotides. RefSeq lists it as uncharacterized. The record is from RefSeq and is a predicted model, not a curated record. The transcript has 2 exons. Lineage: Eukaryota; Metazoa; Chordata; Mammalia; Artiodactyla; Delphinidae.
AAGUCUCUCUCAGAUGGUAGCUCUGCAGCUUUUCCUUGAGUUUCCAGAUUUUAUUAGAGCAUUUUUUUUCUUGACUGAGUCCAGAAACUCACCAAAAUCAGAUUGGGUCUGACUUAGAAACCAGACUUGGUCUGCAAUUUGACUGGGUCCAGCUUAGAAACCGGACUGAGUCUAGAGUCGGACUGGGUCUGAUGUAAGUUGUUCUGAGUCCGCUUGAGACCACAGGUGAAUAAAAUAUUGUUUUAGGGCUGGACAAAUAGGCUCACCUUACCAAAGAUAAUCUUGAAUCACAGUGGCCACAGUGGAGAACUUUUAACCUAGAUAAUCUUAUCAUCUUUAUCAUAGAAAAAAAGGGGUCUCAGCCAGAUAUUCAUCAUAAAGCAUAGAGGGAAAAUGAUUUUUCCUCCUCUAAAAUUUUUGGUGACCAGGAUGGGACCAGCUGGGACACCCUACUCACUGCAAACAGGAUCCUAGGAGAACUGGCAGAAGCCAUCAAAGAGACUGGAAACUCUUCGGUUGCCAGCAACUUAAAAAAUCAGGUAAAUUAGGAAAGCCAUCUCCUAGCAGGUGCAGAAAUCUCAAAGUAUUUUGGGGACCUUGAAAAGGGAGGAAUUCACCCAGAUAUGUAGAUAACUCAGGUGAAAUCAUUGACAAGCCUUUGCCAUGGCUUUCCUGGCCUUGAGAGGCCUUUUAAAAAUUCAAUCCGAGGUGCCAAAUAAUAGGUUCCAGCAAAGCCAAUUUCAAAUGAGCCUGUAUGAGUAACUACACUUCUGUAAAUCAUCAGGCCAAGAUUUUUGAAGCCAGAAUUAUUUAGCAAACAAAUUAGUCUUAAUUUGGCUAUAUUUGGUAGAAAUGAGGGUAAUUUUAGAGAGAAAAAGAUCAUGUUUCUAUGGAGAGUAAAUUCAAGUUUUGUUAAUUGAGGUCUAUACUUACUAAGAGCCACUUCCCAAAUAUCUCUGUAUUAUUAUAUUCUUGUAAAUUUUAGCUGAAUCAUUAAAAGGACACUCUAGUUUGUUACUGAAGUUUUUCUCAUUAAUCCAUCUUUGGAUGAAGAUCAUAUGCCCCAUGACCUGCAACCAGGGGAUUAUGCAUACUGGAGAAGACAUCAUUUAAAGACUGUCUCCAACCUAGAUGGUAGGACCCUUAUCAGGUCCUCUUCACUAGCUCAUGCACAGUGAACAUGAAGGGAAUUGACUCUUGGAUUAAUAUUUCCACUUAAAAAGGGCACCUGAAAUGGACUGGCCUAUACAGAGCACUGCCGACCUCAAAAUCACCUUAAAACAAUGCUCAAACAGAGGAGAAACUACCAGACCACGAUGGUAAGAAGAAGACAUCUAAAGUAGACAGCUGAUCCAAGAUGCCAAACCCGGCCUGUAUACCAGUUACUUUGAUAAUUGCUUACACUUGCUUAUGAACUAAACGUAUUUCACAAUCUUAAGCAGAGUUAAAAUUAAUUGAAUUGUUGAGUUUAUGGUCAAUUACCUAUAUCCAGUACUUCUGGUUACCUUGGUGGAUUUCUCCACUCCAAGGCUCUAAUUGGAUGGCCCUUAGGAAAUUAUUCUAGAAGAAAGAAGUUAUAGUUCUGUUUGGGCCACUAUUGAUAUUACUGGAUGGGACUCCCUCACUUGGCCAAUCAAUCAUAGCUGCUCUGACCAUUGCCAUAAAUAUAAAAGACCCCCCUUAUGUUGGGAAUAAUUCAACCAUACUAAGGAUAGCCAGGCUAAAUAAUACAAGGAAAUGUGUCUGGGUGCCUUAUGAACAAUGCCAGUAUAUCAUUUCCUUUAAAGGUAAGGAUUGGUACAGAACAGAUUAAGUCAGAUGACCUAGGGGUAUACUGUGUGGAACCUAAUGGAAGUUCUUGGCUUAAAUUCUUACUUAUAACCUUACAAAUACUACUAGCCAUAUUACUUGUAUUCUACCUAUUUUAUAAGAUUGUUGUUUCUUUCCUUACCAAAUAUGUGACUGAGCCUCUGAUAAAAUAAUAAGAAGGUGACUUAAGGCUGUUGACCAGAUAUAUAGUUCUAUACAAGAUCAAUGAUGGUAAUAGUGUAACUUUAGAUAUGGAAAGAAGCAUCAAGAGGGAAUAAUUUCCUGGACCAUAACAGACUAGUAAAUCAGUGGUCCAGAGACUUUUGGCUAUAGUUAAUAGGGCCUAGUCCAGUAAUAGCACACUGAGUGGCCUAUCAGUGAGAUCUUUGCCUGGGACAAAAUGAUGAUGAAAUGCCUCCCAAACCAUGGUCGAAUUUAUGACCAUGAGAGGGCACUGCCAACUAAAAAUGGUCACUUGCCAUCUGUCACUACAAGUAUGAUAUCACUAGCCAAUGCAGUCACUGACUUUUGACACACCCUGAAAAGAGUUCAUGGUGGAGAUCAGGAAUGAGGUACUCCGUGCUCUGGAAGGAUCUGGCAGAACAGGUCUUCAGAUAGUUAGAUAUUUUCAGGAGAAGAUUUCAUGAACCUGAUUUCUUGCUUCUUCCUAUAUCUAGAAAGUAUCUAGAAAAUCACUAAAAUCAUUAACGGAGACAUCUGCUCCUCAUGACUAGCAGCAACCUUCUUGUGACCGGCAGCAACCCUCUGCCAGAAAUGUGUACUUGAUUGCAUGUAUCCCUCUUCACUAAAAUCACGUAUAUACUGACCUCCCUCCACCUCUUUAGAGCAGUUCCUCAGAGAUAUCUGAGAGGCUUCUCCUGGGCUAUAGUCCUCAUUUUGCCCCAAAGAAAACUUAACUCACAACUCUCACAUUGUGCAUUGUUUUUCAGUCGACACCUUCAAACUAAAAAUUUAAAAUAAAAUGUCUUCAUUUUUGACAAGCA